This 253-nucleotide unclassified non-coding RNA is filed under the name uncultured bacterium. Its description in RNAcentral is "contains 16S-23S intergenic spacer region". It matches the Rfam family "Bacterial small subunit ribosomal RNA", at positions 524 to 776 of the family's 1533-position model. The record is from RNAcentral.
UACGAGUGGAGCAAACGUUGUUCGGAUUUACUGGGCGUAAAGGGCGUGUAGGCGGCCUGCUAAGUCGUGGUUGAAAGCCCUCGGCUCAACCGGGGAAUUGGUCACGAAACUGGCGGGCUUGAGGUCGGCAGGGGGGUGUGGAACGUCGGGUGGAGCGGUGAAAUGCGUAGAUAUCCGACGGAACACCGGUGGCGAAGGCGACACCCUGGGUCGAACCUGACGCUGAGGCGCGAAAGCGUGGGGAGCAAACAGG